RNAcentral lists this ribosomal RNA (478 nucleotides) under uncultured bacterium. RNAcentral describes it as "partial 16S ribosomal RNA". It matches the Rfam family "Bacterial small subunit ribosomal RNA", at positions 28 to 523 of the family's 1533-position model. The record is from RNAcentral.
GACGAACGCUGGCGGCGUGCUUAACACAUGCAAGUCGAACGGUAAGGCCCUUCGGGGUACACGAGUGGCGAACGGGUGAGUAACACGUGGGUGAUCUGCCCUGCACUUCGGGAUAAGCCUGGGAAACUGGGUCUAAUACCGGAUAGGACCACUGCCUGCAUGGGUGGGGGUGGAAAGCUUUUGCGGUGUGGGAUGGGCCCGCGGCUUAUCAGCUUGUUGGGGGGGUGAUGGCCUACCAAGGCGACGACGGGUAGCCGGCCUGAGAGGGUGACAGGCCACACUGGGACUGAGAUGCGGCCCAGACUCCUACGGGAGGCAGCGGUGGGGAAUAUUGCACAAUGGGCGCAAGGCUGGUGCAGCGACGCCGCGUGAGGGAUGACGGCCUUCGGGUUGUAAACCUCUUUCAGCACCGACGAAGCGCAAGUGACGGUAGGUGCAGAAGAAGGACCGGCCAACUACGUGCCAGCCGCCGCGGUAA